RNAcentral lists this ribosomal RNA (485 nucleotides) under uncultured bacterium. Its description in RNAcentral is "partial 16S ribosomal RNA". It matches the Rfam family "Bacterial small subunit ribosomal RNA", at positions 30 to 507 of the family's 1533-position model. The record is from RNAcentral.
AUUGAACGCUGGCGGCAUGCCUUACACAUGCAAGUCGAACGGCAGCACGGGUGCUUGCACCUGGUGUCGAGUGGCGAACGGGUGAGUAAAACAUCGGAACAUGUCCUGUAGUGGGGGAUAGCCCGGCGAAAGCCGGAUUAAUACCGCAUACGAUCUACGGAGGAAAGCGGGGGACCUUCGGGCCUCGCGCUAUAGGGUUGGCCGAUGGCUGAUUAGCUAGUUGGUGGGGUAAAGGCCUACCAAGGCGACGAUCAGUAGCUGGUCUGAGAGGACGACCAGCCACACUGGGACUGAGGAACGGCCAGACUCCUACGGGAGGCAGCAGUGGGGAAUUUUGGACAAUGGGCGAAAGCCUGAUCCAGCAAUGCCGCGUGUGUGAAGAAGGCCUUCGGGUUGUAAAGCACUUUUGUCCGGAAAGAAAUCCUUGGCCCUAAUACGGUCGGGGGAUGACGGUACCGGAAGAAUAAGCACCGGCUAACUACGUG